UGGGGAAUAUUGGACAAUGGGCGAAAGCCUGAUCCAGCCAUGCCGCGUGUGUGAAGAAGGUCUUCGGAUUGUAAAGCACUUUAAGUCGGGAGGAAGGGCCAUUACCUAAUACGUGAUGGUUUUGACGUUACCGACAGAAUAAGCACCGGCUAACUCUGUGCCAGCAGCCGCGGUAAUACAGAGGGUGCAAGCGUUAAUCGGAAUUACUGGGCGUAAAGCGCGCGUAGGUGGUUUGUUAAGUUGGAUGUGAAAUCCCCGGGCUCAACCUGGGAACUGCAUUCAAAACUGACAAGCUAGAGUAUGGUAGAGGGUGGUGGAAUUUCCUGUGUAGCGGUGAAAUGCGUAGAUAUAGGAAGGAACACCAGUGGCGAAGGCGACCACCUGGACUGAUACUGACACUGAGGUGCGAAAGCGUGGGGAGCAAACAGGAUUAGAUACCCUAGUAGUCCCUGAGCGGGCUGGCAAGGCGCAU
RNAcentral lists this ribosomal RNA (472 nucleotides) under uncultured bacterium. Its description in RNAcentral is "bacterial SSU rRNA". It matches the Rfam family "Bacterial small subunit ribosomal RNA", at positions 355 to 825 of the family's 1533-position model. The record is from RNAcentral.